AGUGGCCUACGGGGCGCAGCAGUGGGGAAUAUUGCACAAUGGGGGAAACCCUGAUGCAGCGACGCCGCGUGAGCGAGGAAGUACCUCGGUAUGUAAAGCUCUGUCAGCAGGGAAGAAAACGACAGUACCUGACCAAGAAGCCCCGGCUAACUACGUGCCAGCAGCCGCGGUAAUACGUAUGGAGCAAGCGUUAUCCGGAUUUACUGGGUGUAAAGGGAGAGUAGGUGGCAGAGCAAGUCCGAAGUGAAAACCCAAAGCUCAACUACGGGAAUGCUUUAGAAACUGCUCAGCUAGAGUGCAGGAGG
Molecule: ribosomal RNA, 305 nt
Filed under: uncultured bacterium
Lineage: Bacteria
Description: bacterial SSU rRNA
Rfam family: Bacterial small subunit ribosomal RNA
Source: RNAcentral